Molecule: ribosomal RNA, 253 nt
Filed under: uncultured bacterium
Lineage: Bacteria
Description: partial 16S ribosomal RNA
Rfam family: Bacterial small subunit ribosomal RNA
Source: RNAcentral
UACGUAGGGACCGAGCGUUGUCCGGAAUCAUUGGGCGUAAAGAGCGUGUAGGCGGCUUGCUAAGUCUUGCGUGAAAUCUCGGGGCUCAACCCCGAGCGGUCGUGGGAAACUGGCAGGCUAGAGUUCGGUAGGGGAGACUGGAAUUCCUGGUGUAGCGGUGAAAUGCGCAGAUAUCAGGAGGAACACCGGUGGCGAAGGCGGGUCUCUGGGCCGAUACUGACGCUGAGGAGCGAAAGCGUGGGGAGCGAACAGA